This is a long non-coding RNA of Ipomoea nil (Japanese morning glory), 358 nucleotides long. RefSeq lists it as uncharacterized. The record is from RefSeq and is a predicted model, not a curated record. NCBI's taxonomy places the organism in Eukaryota, Viridiplantae, Streptophyta, Magnoliopsida, Solanales, Convolvulaceae. The transcript has 3 exons.
UGGGACUUGAAAGAAAUCCAAAGUGAUUUUAAAAAUAUCAGUACACUAAAACUAAUACAGCUAGACAAUUGUUAUUCUUCCCUUGUGGAAUCUGCAAAGAAAAUUCAAGAAGAUAUCGUGAUUUAUGGAGGCACACUUGUUAUUCGUGAUCUUGAAACUAAGGAUGGAUUGCCUAAUAAAAAAAGCUCUAAGGAAAUGGGAGCUGCGAUGAUGGAAAUGGAUUAGAAAAUGGAAGCUAUUGUGGGAGAUGAAGAAGCUAUGAAGGAAGUAGAUGAGAACUUGAUGAUUCUAUGAAUGAUUAAAACCGGUGUAAGCUAAGGUACAAGAAGAAUUCAAGAUUGCUGAAGUCUUGCAAUGC